RNAcentral lists this ribosomal RNA (555 nucleotides) under Triticum aestivum (bread wheat). RNAcentral describes it as "partial small subunit ribosomal RNA". Lineage: Eukaryota; Viridiplantae; Streptophyta; Magnoliopsida; Poales; Poaceae. The record is from RNAcentral.
AUGUCUUCCGCCGCCGGAGCCGGAGCCGGAGAGCACUCGUCUUCAUCCCGACCUGGGAAGCAGAGAGAGGAAGGUGCCGACGAUAGCAACCGCAAGGUGGACGAUGAGGGAGAUCUGAGCCUGGAACUCUAUGGCGCCGAGGCGGGGUGGGUGGAGGCGCGGACCAGCUGCCCACACCUCCCUGCAAUGCCCGCCGCCAGCGCCGACGAACUCGCGCGCGUGCCCGCGUCUGAUUCCCAGUGCUCUAGAUGUCAUCACCCUUCUGAAAACUGGUUAUGCUUGAUCUGCAAAGAUGUGCUGUGUAGUCGUUUUAUCAACAAACACAUGCUGUACCAUUAUCAAGAAAUGGGCCAUUGUAUUGCCCUGAGCUUCAGUGAUCUGUCAGUUUGGUGUUUUGCCUGUGACUCCUACCUAGACGCUCAAUCCAUUUUAGAACUGCGCCCAGUUUAUGAAGUUGCACAUCUGUUGAAAUUUGGAGAAAGGCCCCCUUUUCGAUCACUUGAAGUACUGGAUUUGAGCAGUGGACAAAAUGGAGGUUCAUCUUCAAGUUCCUAA